Molecule: long non-coding RNA, 1400 nt
Filed under: Ornithorhynchus anatinus (platypus)
Lineage: Eukaryota; Metazoa; Chordata; Mammalia; Monotremata; Ornithorhynchidae
Description: lncRNA (ENSOANG00000040981.1)
Source: RNAcentral
CUUUAACUGUCCCCCUCUAGACUCUAAGAUCAUUGUGGGCAGAGAAUGUGCCCAUUUAUUAUUAUUAUUAUUAAUAAUAAUUGUGUUAUUUGUUAAGCACUUACUAUGUGCCAAGCACUGUUCUAAAGGCUGGGGUAGAUACAAGAUCAGUGGGUUGGUCACAGUUCCUGUCCCACGUAGGGCUCACAGUCUUAAUCCCCAUUUUACAGAUGAGGGAACUGAGGCAUGGAGAAGUUAAGUGACUUGCCCAAGGUUACAUGACAGACAAAGGGCAGAGCCAGAAUUAGAACCCACGUCCUCUGACUCCCAGGCCCGUGCUCUUUCCACUAACAGUACAGUGCUCUGCACGCAGUAAGUGUUCAGUAAAUAUGCCUGACCGACUGACUCGCUCUUAAUCUAGGCGUCCUGGGAAAGGCUAAACCCUGGAGCUGCUCAUUCUGCCCCGGUCGCUGGGGCCCCACAGGGACCUAACGUGGACACCUCAACCCUUCAAGGGUUGUUUGCCGGACUGCGGAUCUGUGCCCCGGCCAUGACUGGCAGCUGGCAGCAUCAGUCCACUGGAGUUCAGCGUGAGAUAGUGGGGGGUAGCUGCUCAAUUGAACCCAGCGACUGAGCUGGAAAACAAAUCAAGCCAGCUCGAGCCAGGCAGGACUCGUUGGAUUUGUGGAUGACCUCUGGCUUCAUAGCACGGGUAGCCCGCGCGGGCCCCUAUGAUGAAUGUCACGCCGAUCCCUUCCGAAGACAGGCGCGAGCCAGACCGCCGACCACCAACCACCUCAGAACCACCGCUCCUCCAAAGGGGACCUUCCUCGUCUUCUCUGCUGCCUGCUUAUCCAGUUCUGUCAAGAUAACAUCCAAAGCCUGAAAGGCAGGAGAGAAAUCCCACACUUCAGGGGAAAGAAAUGCAACUCCCACGCAGGGAUCUGGAAAGAAAAAUGGAGACCAGGCCUUGCGCAAACCUCCAUCAAAUAGUGUGUUUGGUAAAACUCUUGGAAGCCCUAACAGUGAAGAAGUUCAGCGUUGGCUUUACUUUUUGUUCCAGUCAAUGAAGUGAGUAAAACCACUCAUUUAAUUCAUUCAUUCAACUGUAUUUAUUGAGUGCUUACUGUGUGCAGAGCACUCUACUGAGCACUUGGAAAGUCAUUUUAACCACCUCCUACCACUCCCCCGCCCCCAACACACACACACACACACACAUGUGAUGUGCUCACGUGAUGCAGAUUCCUUCAGUAAUAAGGUGAGUCUCCGUAGAAUCAGAGAAGCAACAUGGCGGAGUGGAUAGAGCAUGGGUCUGGGAGUCAGAAGAGCCUGGGUUCUAAUGUCGACUUCACCACUUGUCUUGUGUGUGACCUUGUGCAAGUCACUUCACUUCUCUGUGCCUCAGUGACCUCAUCUUUAAA